RNAcentral lists this ribosomal RNA (423 nucleotides) under Triticum aestivum (bread wheat). RNAcentral's name for it is "partial small subunit ribosomal RNA". The record is from RNAcentral. Lineage: Eukaryota; Viridiplantae; Streptophyta; Magnoliopsida; Poales; Poaceae.
AUGCAUGCAACCAAUUGUCACCGUACGUCGACCGCAAAGCUCUCAUGGCCGCCCACCGUCUCCGGCCGCCACCCCCUACAAAAACCCGGCGACUCCGUUCCCGUCCAAGCAUCGCACGCCAUCUAUCAACCCUUCCGCCACCUUGUCUCUCACUCGCGAAAGCCCCGUCCACAGGUUACGUACGUGCGCAGAAACGAGAACAUGGCCCAGAGCAGGACCACCGCCGUCGCGCUGCUCCUGAUCGCCGUCCUGGUGGCGGCCGCGUCGGUGCCGGCGGCGACCGCCUUCGGCUGCUACGACGACUGCUACGAGCGCUGCGCCAACGGCGCCAAGGAGGACCCAGCCUGCACCAAGAUGUGCGGAGAGGCAUGCGGCGUCGGCGGCAAAGGCGCCGGCGCCGCCGGCGGCGCGCCCGCCGCUUGA